AAAAUUCUGUUGUUAAAGAAGAACAAUUUCUGAGAGUAACUGUUCAGGUAUUGACGUAUUUAACCAGAAAAGCCACGGCUAACUACGUGCCAGCAGCCGCGGUAAUACGUAGGUGGCAAGCGUUGUCCGAUUUUAUUGGGCGUAAAGCGAGCGCAGGCGGUUUUUUAAGUCUGAUGUGAAAGCCUUCGGCUCAACCGAAGAAGUGCAUCGGAAACUGGGAAACUUGAGUGCAGAAGAGGACAGUGGAACUCCAUGUGUAGCGGUGAAAUGCGUAGAUAUAUGGAAGAACACCAGUGGCGAAGGCGGCUGUCUGGUCUGUAACUGACGCUGAGGCUCGAAAGUAUGGGUAGCAAACAGGAUUAGAUACCCUGGUAGUCCAUACCGUAAACGAUGAAUGCUAAGUGUUGGAGGGUUUCCGCCCUUCAGUGCUGCAGCUAACGCAUUAAGCAUUCCGCCUGGGGAGUACGGCCGCAAGGCUGAAACUCAAAGGAAUUGACGGGGGCCCGCACAAGCGGUGGAGCAUGUGGUUUAAUUCGAAGCUACGCGAAGAACCUUACCAGGUCUUGACAUACUAUGCAAAUCUAAGAGAUUAGACGUUCCCUUCGGGGACAUGGAUACAGGUGGUGCAUGGUUGUCGUCAGCUCGUGUCGUGAGAUGUUGGGUUAAGUCCCGCAACGAGCGCAACCCUUAUUAUCAGUUGCCAGCAUUAAGUUGGGCACUCUGGUGAGACUGCCGGUGACAAACCGGAGGAAGGUGGGGAUGACGUCAAAUCAUCAUGCCCCUUAUGACCUGGGCUACACACGUGCUACAAUGGAUGGUACAACGAGUUGCGAACUCGCGAGAGUAAGCUAAUCUCUUAAAGCCAUUCUCAGUUCGGAUUGUAGGCUGCAACUCGCCUACAUGAAGUCGGAAUCGCUAGUAAUCGCGGAUCAGCAUGCCGCGGUGAAUACGUUCCCGGGCCUUGUACACACCGCCCGUCACACCAUGAGAGUUUGUAACACCCAAAGUCGGUGGGGUAACCUUUUAGGAACCAGCCGCCUAAGGUGACAGAGUAGGGGGG
Molecule: ribosomal RNA, 1060 nt
Filed under: Lactiplantibacillus plantarum
Lineage: Bacteria; Bacillati; Bacillota; Bacilli; Lactobacillales; Lactobacillaceae
Description: bacterial SSU rRNA
Rfam family: Bacterial small subunit ribosomal RNA
Source: RNAcentral